RNAcentral lists this ribosomal RNA (465 nucleotides) under Vreelandella stevensii. Its description in RNAcentral is "partial 16S ribosomal RNA". It matches the Rfam family "Bacterial small subunit ribosomal RNA", at positions 338 to 795 of the family's 1533-position model. The record is from RNAcentral. Lineage: Bacteria; Pseudomonadati; Pseudomonadota; Gammaproteobacteria; Oceanospirillales; Halomonadaceae.
CCUACGGGUGGCAGCAGUGGGGAAUAUUGGACAAUGGGGGCAACCCUGAUGCAGCCAUGCCGCGUGUGUGAAGAAGGCCCUCGGGUUGUAAAGCACUUUCAGUGAGGAAGAACGCCUGGUGGUUAAUACCCAUCAGGAACGACAUCACUCACAGAAGAAGCACCGGCUAACUCCGUGCCAGCAGCCGCGGUAAUACGGAGGGUGCGAGCGUUAAUCGGAAUUACUGGGCGUAAAGCGCGCGUAGGUGGCUUGAUAAGCCGGUUGUGAAAGCCCCGGGCUCAACCUGGGAACGGCAUCCGGAACUGUCAAGCUAGAGUGCAGGAGAGGAAGGUAGAAUUCCCGGUGUAGCGGUGAAAUGCGUAGAGAUCGGGAGGAAUACCAGUGGCGAAGGCGGCCUUCUGGACUGACACUGACACUGAGGUGCGAAAGCGUGGGUAGCAAACAGGAUUAGAUACCCUAGUAGUC